UCGAAUAAUGUCCCGCACGUGAGCGUCCCUGAUAUUUCUCCUCCCUUUUGCUUUGGGUGACUGCGUAUUCCCUCCGUCGCGGACCACCACCAAACUCAGCUGUGCUCUUGGGUUGAACUACAUCAGAGAUAUUUAGGUAAGUUGGAUUUAUCUAAUCUUUUAUUGGUUAAUUUCGAACUGAUUUUAUUUUUCUUUUCGUAUGAAAUCUUUGCUAAACUAUGUGUUGUGAAUUCACCCAGCUUCAAGAUUAGAGGUUGUUUAAUAUGUCAGACGGAAUAAUCACAACUAACAAACCGUCUAUAUUUUCGCUAUGAGCUUUGAUACUUAUUGCGUUUCAUAUUUUAGUUGACAUGGAAAUGUUUUUGGUGGGUUGUUUCUUUGAGUGAUUCAAGAGUGGUGUUUCUUGUUGUUGCACGCUCCAGUAUAUAUCCAUUGUCAUGGAUUCACAGGAAAACCAACCACAACCCCAUCCAACUCAAUCCUUAAACUUCAAAUUGAAAUCAUCUGUAUUCUAUGUCUCCUCCAUCCUAAUUCUCGUCCUGGCCAUCUCAUUCAGUUUCACCAAAUCAAACUUUCUAAAACCCCAACACCUCAAGUACACAUUCUCGGUAGAUCCCACCUUGUUUCAGACUAUUCUAGAGUUUAUUCACUCAUCCAAUAAAACCAUACAAACCCAAGAACCUGAACCCAUUUCGCUUCCCCGCAACUGUGUCAUGUGGAUGGCUCCUUUUCUAUCAGGUGGUGGCCACAGUUCAGAAGGUUGGUCGUAUAUUUUAUCCCUUCAUGAACAGAAUAGAACCCGCAGUUUUAGAAUUGCUAUUGAGCAACAUGGUGAUCUACUGUUCGCUUGAAUUCUGGCAGGGAUUGCCUGAAUAUAUGAAAGAUUUGGCAACUGAGCUUUACCGCACAAAAUGUAAUAUGAAAGAGACGAUAGUCAUAUGUCAUAGUGAGCCUGGUGCAUGGAACCCCCCAUUGUUUGAAACUCUGCCUUGUCCUCCAGCUGCUUAUGGAAACUUCAAAUCUGUGAUUGGUCGGACCAUGUUUGAAACUGAAAGGGUGAGUCCCGAACAUUCGAAAAGCUGUAACAAAAUGGAUUACGUGUGGGUUCCUACUGAGUUUCAUGUAUCUAAAUUCAUAGAAAGUGGGUUUGAUCCAUCUAAGGUGGUCAAAAUUGUGCAGCCUAUUGAUGUGAAGUUCUUUAAUCUAGUCGAGUAUGAGCCAUUAAAUCUUGCUUCUAUAGGGAAAUUGGUCAUGGGGAAGAAAACACGGAACUUAAAAUUUGUGUUUUUAAGCAUUUUUAAGUGGGAAUACAGGAAAGGAUGGGAUGUUUUGCUGAAAGCAUAUUUGGGAGGAAGAAUACUUUAUAUCUUUUAACAAAUCCGUAUCACUCGGAGAAAGAUUUCAGCAAUAAGAUAGUGGAGUUCGUGCAGAAAUCUGGAAUAGAAAAACCAGUGACUGGUUGGUCUCCAGUUUAUGUGAUCUGACACUCAUAUUGCCCAGUCUGAUCUACCUCCAAUAUACAAGGCAGCUGAUGCAUUUGUUCUUCCAUCAAGAGGGCUGGGGAAGGCCUCUGGUCGAAGCUAUAGCAAUGUCAUUGCCGGUGAUUGCCUCAAAUUGGUCGGGACCAACAGAGUAUUUGACAGAGGAGAAUAGCUAUCCCUUGAUAGUGGAUAGGAUGAGUGAAGUAAUGGAAGGGCCUUUCAAAGGACAUCUCUGGGCAGAGCCUUCUGUUACUAAGCUUCGGGUGUUGAUGAGGCAUGUAAUGGAUAAUGUCAACGAAGCCAAGGCCAAAGGAAGAAGAGCAAGGGAAGACUUGAUCACGAAGUUUGCUCCGGAAAUUGUUGCAGAUAUUGUUAUCAAACAUGUACUAAAUAUAUUCGAAAAGAUGGAUUGAUACUUGCUUUGGUUGUUAAUGGCAUGAACUAGUUUUCUUUGGCCGGUUAGCUAUUGAUCAGGUAGCGAGGCUUACAUCACAAUCACCUAAAAUUUUCAUAACAAACUGUAGUACACGUACAACAGUAAUAAUAUCCUAAUUGGUUACCAAAACUGGCCCCUAUCAGCCCGAAUCUGCAAUCAGUCUAUUCUAGCUCAAUGCUCAUGCACAAGACUAUAAACACACGCGAGCAAUUGAUCUACUAAUAACGCCACCUAAAGUUGAAGUUUCCGCUUGGCAGUCAAUCAGAAAAAAAAAAUAAUAUAUAUAUAUAUAUAUAUAUAUAUAUAUAUAUAUAUUCGAACUACUAGGGACCAUGCCUUUACUAAUUCUGAUGUAAAUCAAUUUUGUGCUCUUUGUAAGUCUGACUGAAACUCUAGAUCAUUUUUUCUUCUUUGGCCAGACUUUUCCCGACUUUUUUAUGCUGCAUUGUAAUUUAGGCUUUAUUGAUUGGUUAGAUCGUAUUGCUUAUUUUCAAACGGACACUUAAGGGUUUUCAAACGGACACUUAAGCUGUAGCCUUGGAAACUGCCUAUCAUACUAUAUUUGGAAUUCAAGAAAUAAUGUCAAUUUCACAAAUUAAUGUGCAUCUCCUUUUCAUAUCUUUUAUAGUGAUGCCAAUCCUUGCAGCUUCUAAAGGUCUGAGAGGAAUCAGGAUAUUCUCUUAACUGAGGCUUUAGCAGUUGGAGCGAGUCUUCAUGCAACUUUCAUUCAUGGUUUUCAUGAUUUAGAGGCGGAGUUGCUCAUUCAUAGUAUUAAGUAUUAACGGAGCUUGCCAUAUUGCUUGGGAAUUCUUGUUCUUGGUUGGAGACAUCAAACUCCUCGGCUUCGCAACUACAAAUAUCUACUUGUAAACAUGUGAGAAGCAAACUUUCUGACAGAAGUCUAGUUCAAUUCUCUUCCUCCUGCAGCAGUCAAGCUUUUCUUUCACACUUUUUUGAGUUCUGCUUGUCUAGAGGUUUUUCUUUGUAAUUUUGGUUUCUUGAUUUGGAUAGAGAAAAGUUCAAUCAAAUAUGAGCAACCCAACUCAAAAUGCUUCUGUUUGCCACCCUACUAUAAUUUUUUUUUAUCAACUUCUGUUCCAAUUUUAUAAGUUGAAAAUCCAAACUUUGUAAAGCACAUCAGUGUUCAGACACUUUGAAUGGUCUCCGUUCAAAGUUCAAACACUUACUCUUGAAAACCUUAUACAUACACUACAAAUACAACAAUUUAAUAACAAAGUUUACAUGCCAGCAAGUUUACAGAAGCCCUCGUUCCUAGUUUGGUUAUUCCACAUUGAAGAGCUGAAUUUUGGACUGGGUCAUUUGACAUUACAAAUUUACAAUACUCAGAAUGCGAUAGGAUCAUCUUUUGGAAGAGAAUGCCAUGGAAAUAGAACCUAGUUUCAGUCACCCUAAAAAGAUUGGAGUGAUAAGACUAGGGGCAUGAUCAAUGCUCAUCUUGGCAAGGGAGUCGGGUUAUUCAUCUAUAUUUUCAAUCCCAGCAUGGAAUCAGUAGCUAACCAAAUAAAAUAAAAAAUUGGUGAUUAGCAUAAUAUACCUCUAAUCUCCUUCAAUACCUGUCUUGAGCUAAAUCCUGAAUGCAAUCUACUUUUCCGCAGGCCUACUAUGUUCGUUCGACACAGAUGAAAUACCAUGCUCGAUACACUGGACAAAAAUUCAUUGUCAGG
This 3602-nucleotide long non-coding RNA is filed under the name Fragaria vesca (wild strawberry). RNAcentral's name for it is "long non-coding RNA (FVES_LNC002450)". The record is from RNAcentral. Lineage: Eukaryota; Viridiplantae; Streptophyta; Magnoliopsida; Rosales; Rosaceae.